AGAGCGAACGCUGGCGGCAGGCCUAACACAUGCAAGUCGAACGGACCCUUCGGGGUUAGUGGCGGACGGGUGAGUAACACGUGGGAACGUGCCUUUUGGUUCGGAAUAGCUCCUGGAAACGGGUGGUAAUGCCGAAUGUGCCCUUCGGGGGAAAGAUUUAUCGCCAUUAGAGCGGCCCGCGUCUGAUUAGCUAGUUGGUGAGGUAAUGGCUCACCAAGGCGACGAUCAGUAGCUGGUCUGAGAGGAUGACCAGCCACAUUGGGACUGAGACACGGCCCAAACUCCUACGGGAGGCAGCAGUGGGAAUCUUGCGCAAUGGGCGAAAGCCUGACGCAGCCAUGCCGCGUGAAUGAUGAAGUCUAGGAUUGUAAAUUCUUUCACCGGGUACGAUAAUAGACGGUACCCGGAGAAGAACGCCCGGACUAACUCGUGCCAGCACGCCGC
This 444-nucleotide ribosomal RNA is filed under the name uncultured soil bacterium. Its description in RNAcentral is "bacterial SSU rRNA". It matches the Rfam family "Bacterial small subunit ribosomal RNA", at positions 26 to 518 of the family's 1533-position model. The record is from RNAcentral.